Molecule: non-coding RNA, 48 nt
Filed under: Schistosoma mansoni
Lineage: Eukaryota; Metazoa; Platyhelminthes; Trematoda; Strigeidida; Schistosomatidae
Source: RNAcentral
AUUCAGCUGACAGGUCUCAAAUAGGACGAAACGCGCGUCAAACUGGAU